This 538-nucleotide long non-coding RNA is filed under the name Sus scrofa (pig). RNAcentral's name for it is "lncRNA (ENSSSCG00060047143.1)". Lineage: Eukaryota; Metazoa; Chordata; Mammalia; Artiodactyla; Suidae. The record is from RNAcentral.
GUCGCGGGGGGGAGGAGGAGGAGGAGGAGGGACUGAGUGGCGGCGGCCCCCGCGUCCCGGUGCCUCUAUGGGGAAAGCAGACAAUGGAUUAUGAUUUCAAGGCGAAGCUGGCGGCGGAGCGGGAGCGGGUGGAGGAUUUGUUUGAGUACGAAGGGUGCAAAGUGGGACGCGGCACCUACGGGCACGUCUACAAGGCGAGGCGAAAAGAUGGAUUCCAGGAGGGCUUCGUGUAUGGACCUCAGGCGUUGGAGGUAGCAGACUUUUCAGCAGAAGAAAAGAUGAAAAGGAAUAUGCAUUGAAGCAAAUUGAAGGCACAGGAAUAUCCAUGUCAGCUUGUAGAGAGAUUGCAGUAAGUGGAUAUAAAUAUAUUACUUAUUUUGUUGUUGAUAUUGGAUGAUGCUUGAUAUUAAUAUAAAAGCUUUGUUAAUGUAUACAAUGCAUGGUUAUUUCAAAGAUGUUAAUUAGUUUAAGGGUAUGUAAGAUGAGAAAAGCUGCAUAAACUUUUUAAUUAUUUGGAAGUCUUCUUUGAACAAUUCUC